Long non-coding RNA from Nyctereutes procyonoides (raccoon dog), 835 nucleotides. RefSeq lists it as uncharacterized. Lineage: Eukaryota; Metazoa; Chordata; Mammalia; Carnivora; Canidae. The record is from RefSeq and is a predicted model, not a curated record. The transcript has 3 exons.
GCGGAAGGAGCUGGGCUUUCUUUUGCGCGCGGCCGACGAUGGAGGAGGGUUCUCGAGGCACCGUCGCCGAACGGCCCCGGCGGCAGCGUCUGCGGGCCAGUCGCUGGGCUCUUCGAGCAGAGCCUGUGACGUGAAGAUGAAUGAAGGUUGUCCUGUUUUCCAGAAACCACUUAGAGGAUGGCUGUGAUAAAACACUAGGAACGUAACUGCAUGUAACGAGAGGCAUGCAAUUGGAAGGAAAAAUGAAGAAUUGGUCAAGAAGAGAUGAAUCGAAACAUGUUGAAAAUUAAUAUUUUAUUUAACAUUGAUUACCUCACAAUAAGUUAUAUUUUUCUAUAUAACAAACAUAUAUUUUUCUAUAUAACUUAUUGUGAGGUAAUCAAUAAGUUAUAUAGAAAAAUAUAUGUUUGAAUACUUACAAUUGCUAGGCAAUAAAGAAUUAAUCUUUAAAAUAUAUCAAAUGUUUAAACAGUUCGAUUCUUAUAAUUACUAGUCAGACUGUUUUUUAACAUACUUUAAGGAUAGUAUGUUCUUGUCAAUAACUAGCUCAUUUGUGGAAUGACAACCUUUGAGGGGGCAGUCAGCUGGGGAAACAGUCCAGUACCUCCAGUUCUCCUGCCUUUUCUUGCCUUAGGGGAUUUCAGCAAACUAGAUAACCAUGGACACCUCCCCUUAAGAACCUGCUACUAUACCUAAAAACGAGUAUUUAGAAUCUCCUAACCACCUUAAUGAAUUAUCCCUUACAAGUAAAGAUUAUACCUGUGACCUACAGAGUUUAAGAUUAAAUCUUAUUUUAUUCUUUGUUUUUACCUCUGAAUAAAAAAAGUAAUCCUGA